GGAGAGGCCAGCCGAUUGGCGGCGGCAACUGUCUAGAAAACAGUUUGCGUGCAAGCGCGUGUGGGUUCGACUCCCACUCUCUCCG
This 85-nucleotide transfer RNA is filed under the name Bifidobacterium longum. RNAcentral's name for it is "tRNA-Ser". It matches the Rfam family "tRNA". Rfam says of the family: Transfer RNA (tRNA) molecules are approximately 80 nucleotides in length. Their secondary structure includes four short double-helical elements and three loops (D, anti-codon, and T loops). Lineage: Bacteria; Bacillati; Actinomycetota; Actinomycetes; Bifidobacteriales; Bifidobacteriaceae. The record is from RNAcentral. RNAcentral also lists the same sequence under 1 other name.